AAGUCGUAACAAGGUUUCCGUAGGUGAACCUGCGGAAGGAUCAUUAUCAACGUUAUCCACGUAUAAACCAAUUAUCGUGAACUGUCACAUUCUUUUUCUUAUUAACUACCUCGAAAAUCCUUAGCGAUUUGACAGAGUUAAUUUCUUAUGAUUAUCGGAACUGAUUAUAUGGAAACAAUCCUUUUUUGCUUUAAUCGGCGAAAGAGAUGUUUCUUUCAUUUUACGAAAUUAUUCGAACAACUCUUAGCAACGGAUAUCUUGGUUCUC
RNAcentral lists this unclassified non-coding RNA (267 nucleotides) under fungal sp. RNAcentral describes it as "partial internal transcribed spacer region". The stretch from base 1 to 46 matches the Rfam family "Eukaryotic small subunit ribosomal RNA", at positions 1786 to 1831 of the family's 1831-position model. The record is from RNAcentral. Lineage: Eukaryota; Fungi.